UUGCCUCAGUAACGGCGAGUGAAGCGGCAACAGCUCAAAUUUGAAAUCUGGCGCAAGCCCGAGUUGUAAUUUGUAGAGGAUGCUUCUGGGCAGCGGCCGGUCUAAGUUCCUUGGAACAGGACGUCAUAGAGGGUGAGAAUCCCGUAUGCGACCGGUUGGCACCCGUCACGUAGCUCCUUCGACGAGUCGAGUUGUUUGGGAAUGCAGCUCUAAAUGGGAGGUAAAUGUCUUCUAAAGCUAAAUAUUGGCCAGAGACCGAUAGCGCACAAGUAGAGUGAUCGAAAGAUGAAAAGCACUUUGGAAAGAGAGUUAAAAAGCACGUGAAAUUGUUGAAAGGGAAGCGCAAGCAACCAGACUUGUCGGCGGUGUUCCGCCGGUCUUCUGACCGGUCUACUCGCCGCCGCCAGGCCAGCAUCACUUGGGUGCGCCGGAUAAAGACGUGAGGAAUGUGGCCCCCUCGGGGGUGUUAUAGCCUCGCGUGCAAUACGGUGCCGCUCGAGUGAGGUCCGCGCUUCGGCUAGGAUGCUGGCGUAAUGGUUGUUUGCGGCCCGUCUUGAAACACGGACCAAGGAGUCUAACAUCUAUGCGAGUGUUCGGGUGUCAAACCCCUACGCGUAAUGAAAGUGAACGGAGGUGGGAACCUUUUAGGUGCACCAUCGACCGAUCCUGAUGUCUUCGGAUGGAUUUGAGUAAGAGCAUAGCUGUUGGGACCCGAAAGAUGGUGAACUAUGCCUGAAUAGGGUGAAGCCAGAGGAAACUCUGGUGGAGGCUCGCAGCGGUUCUGACGUGCAAAUCGAUCGUCAAAUUUGGGUAU
This 814-nucleotide ribosomal RNA is filed under the name Caatingomyces brasiliensis. RNAcentral's name for it is "partial 28S ribosomal RNA". It matches the Rfam family "Eukaryotic large subunit ribosomal RNA", at positions 75 to 918 of the family's 3401-position model. Lineage: Eukaryota; Fungi; Ascomycota; Dothideomycetes; Mycosphaerellales; Teratosphaeriaceae. The record is from RNAcentral.